UAAUACGUAGGGGGCGAGCGUUGUCCGGAUUUAUUGGGCGUAAAGAGCUCGUAGGCGGUUUGGCAAGUCGGGUGUGAAAACUCCGGGCUCAACUCGGAGACGCCACUCGAUACUGCCAUGACUCGAGUCCGGUAGGGGAGUGCGGAAUUCCUGGUGUAGCGGUGAAAUGCGCAGAUAUCAGGAGGAACACCGGUGGCGAAGGCGGCACUCUGGGCCGGUACUGACGC
RNAcentral lists this ribosomal RNA (227 nucleotides) under uncultured bacterium. Its description in RNAcentral is "partial 16S ribosomal RNA". It matches the Rfam family "Bacterial small subunit ribosomal RNA", at positions 521 to 746 of the family's 1533-position model. The record is from RNAcentral.